AAAGCCUCUAAGCAUCAGGUAACAUCAAAUCGUACCCCAAACCGACACAGGUGGUCAGGUAGAGAAUACCAAGGCGCUUGAGAGAACUCGGGUGAAGGAACUAGGCAAAAUGGUGCCGUAACUUCGGGAGAAGGCACGCUGAUAUGUAGGUGAAGUCCCUUGCGGAUGGAGCUGAAAUCAGUCGAAGAUACCAGCUGGCUGCAACUGUUUAUUAAAAACACAGCACUGUGCAAACACGAAAGUGGACGUAUACGGUGUGACGCCUGCCCGGUGCCGGAAGGUUAAUUGAUGGGGUUAGCGCAAGCGAAGCUCUUGAUCGAAGCCCCGGUAAACGGCGGCCGUAACUAUAACGGUCCUAAGGUAGCGAAAUUCCUUGUCGGGUAAGUUCCGACCUGCACGAAUGGCGUAAUGAUGGCCAGGCUGUCUCCACCCGAGACUCAGUGAAAUUGAACUCGCUGUGAAGAUGCAGUGUACCCGCGGCAAGACGGAAAGACCCCGUGAACCUUUACUAUAGCUUGACACUGAACAUUGAGCCUUGAUGUGUAGGAUAGGUGGGAGGCUUAGAAGUGUGGACGCCAGUCUGCAUGGAGCCGACCUUGAAAUACCACCCUUUAAUGUUUGAUGUUCUAACGUUGACCCGUAAUCCGGGUUGCGGACAGUGUCUGGUGGGUAGUUUGACUGGGGCGGUCUCCUCCUAAAGAGUAACGGAGGAGCACGAAGGUUGGCUAAUCCUGGUCGGACAUCAGGAGGUUAGUGCAAUGGCAUAAGCCAGCUUGACUGCGAGCGUGACGGCGCGAGCAGGUGCGAAAGCAGGUCAUAGUGAUCCGGUGGUUCUGAAUGGAAGGGCCAUCGCUCAACGGAUAAAAGGUACUCCGGGGAUAACAGGCUGAUACCGCCCAAGAGUUCAUAUCGACGGCGGUGUUUGGCACCUCGAUGUCGGCUCAUCACAUCCUGGGGCUGAAGUAGGUCCCAAGGGUAUGGCUGUUCGCCAUUUAAAGUGGUACGCGAGCUGGGUUUAGAACGUCGUGAGACAGUUCGGUCCCUAUCUGCCGUGGGCGCUGGAGAACUGAGGGGGGCUGCUCCUAGUACGAGAGGACCGGAGUGGACGCAUCACUGGUGUUCGGGUUGUCAUGCCAAUGGCACUGCCCGGUAGCUAAAUGCGGAAGAGAUAAGUGCUGAAAGCAUCUAAGCACGAAACUUGCCCCGAGAUGAGUUCUCCCUGACUCCUUGAGAGUCCUGAAGGAACGUUGAAGACGACGACGUUGAUAGGCCGGGUGUGUAAGCGCAGCGAUGCGUUGAGCUAACCGGUACUAAUGAACCGUGAGGCUUAACCUU
This 1335-nucleotide ribosomal RNA is filed under the name Escherichia coli. RNAcentral's name for it is "bacterial LSU rRNA". It matches the Rfam family "Bacterial large subunit ribosomal RNA", at positions 1614 to 2925 of the family's 2925-position model. Lineage: Bacteria; Pseudomonadati; Pseudomonadota; Gammaproteobacteria; Enterobacterales; Enterobacteriaceae. The record is from RNAcentral.